GGGUUGUGAGGUUAAGCGACUAAGCGUACACGGUGGAUGCCCUGGCAGUCAGAGGCGAUGAAGGGCGUGCUAAUCUGCGAUAAGCGCCGGUAAGGUGAUAUGAACCGUUAUAACCGGCGAUACCCGAAUGGGGAAACCCAGUGUGAUUCGUCACACUAUCAUUAACUGAAUCCAUAGGUUAAUGAGGCGAACCGGGGGAACUGAAACAUCUAAGUACCCCGAGGAAAAGAAAUCAACCGAGAUUCCCCCAGUAGCGGCGAGCGAACGGGGAGGAGCCCAGAGCCUGAAUCAGCAUGUGUGUUAGUGGAAGCGUCUGGAAAGGCGCGCGAUACAGGGUGACAGCCCCGUACACAAAAGCGCAUGUGCUGUGAGCUCGAUGAGUAGGGCGGGACACGUGGUAUCCUGUCUGAAUAUGGGGGGACCAUCCUCCAAGGCUAAAUACUCCUGACUGACCGAUAGUGAACCAGUACCGUGAGGGAAAGGCGAAAAGAACCCCGGCGAGGGGAGUGAAAAAGAACCUGAAACCGUGUACGUACAAGCAGUGGGAGCACCCUUUGGGUGUGACUGCGUACCUUUUGUAUAAUGGGUCAGCGACUUAUAUUCUGUAGCAAGGUUAACCGAAUAGGGGAGCCGGAGGGAAACCGAGUCUUAAUUGGGCGUUAAGUUGCAGGGUAUAGACCCGAAACCCGGUGAUCUAGCCAUGGGCAGGUUGAAGGUUGGGUAACACUAACUGGAGGACCGAACCGACUAAUGUUGAAAAAUUAGCGGAUGACCUGUGGCUGGGGGUGAAAGGCCAAUCAAACCGGGAGAUAGCUGGUUCUCCCCGAAAGCUAUUUAGGUAGCGCCUCGUGAAUUCAUCUCCGGGGGUAGAGCACUGUUUCGGCUAGGGGGCCAUCCCGGCUUACCAACCCGAUGCAAACUGCGAAUACCGGAGAAUGUUAUCACGGGAGACACACGGCGGGUGCUAACGUCCGUCGUGAAGAGGGAAACAACCCAGACCGCCAGCUAAGGUCCCAAAGUCAUGGUUAAGUGGGAAACGAUGUGGGAAGGCCCAGACAGCCAGGAUGUUGGCUUAGAAGCAGCCAUCAUUUAAAGAAAGCGUAAUAGCUCACUGGUCGAGUCGGCCUGCGCGGAAGAUGUAACGGGGCUAAACCAUGCACCGAAGCUGCGGCAGCGACACUGUGUGUUGUUGGGUAGGGGAGCGUUCUGUAAGCCUGUGAAGGUGUGUCGUGAGGCAUGCUGGAGGUAUCAGAAGUGCGAAUGCUGACAUAAGUAACGAUAAAGCGGGUGAAAAGCCCGCUCGCCGGAAGACCAAGGGUUCCUGUCCAACGUUAAUCGGGGCAGGGUGAGUCGACCCCUAAGGCGAGGCCGAAAGGCGUAGUCGAUGGGAAACGGGUUAAUAUUCCCGUACUUGGUGUUACUGCGAAGGGGGGACGGAGAAGGCUAUGUUGGCCGGGCGACGGUUGUCCCGGUUUAAGCGUGUAGGUGUGUGUUCCAGGUAAAUCCGGUUCACUUUAACACUGAGGCGUGACGACGAGGCACUACGGUGCUGAAGCAACAAAUGCCCUGCUUCCAGGAAAAGCCUCUAAGCAUCAGGUAACAUCAAAUCGUACCCCAAACCGACACAGGUGGUCAGGUAGAGAAUACCAAGGCGCUUGAGAGAACUCGGGUGAAGGAACUAGGCAAAAUGGUGCCGUAACUUCGGGAGAAGGCACGCUGACACGUAGGUGAAGUGAUUUACUCAUGGAGCUGAAGUCAGUCGAAGAUACCAGCUGGCUGCAACUGUUUAUUAAAAACACAGCACUGUGCAAACACGAAAGUGGACGUAUACGGUGUGACGCCUGCCCGGUGCCGGAAGGUUAAUUGAUGGGGUCAGCGCAAGCGAAGCUCCUGAUCGAAGCCCCGGUAAACGGCGGCCGUAACUAUAACGGUCCUAAGGUAGCGAAAUUCCUUGUCGGGUAAGUUCCGACCUGCACGAAUGGCGUAAUGAUGGCCAGGCUGUCUCCACCCGAGACUCAGUGAAAUUGAACUCGCUGUGAAGAUGCAGUGUACCCGCGGCAAGACGGAAAGACCCCGUGAACCUUUACUAUAGCUUGACACUGAACAUUGAGCCUUGAUGUGUAGGAUAGGUGGGAGGCUUUGAAGUGUGGACGCCAGUCUGCAUGGAGCCGACCUUGAAAUACCACCCUUUAAUGUUUGAUGUUCUAACGUGGACCCGUUACCCGGGUUGCGGACAGUGUCUGGUGGGUAGUUUGACUGGGGCGGUCUCCUCCUAAAGAGUAACGGAGGAGCACGAAGGUUGGCUAAUCCUGGUCGGACAUCAGGAGGUUAGUGCAAUGGCAUAAGCCAGCUUGACUGCGAGCGUGACGGCGCGAGCAGGUGCGAAAGCAGGUCAUAGUGAUCCGGUGGUUCUGAAUGGAAGGGCCAUCGCUCAACGGAUAAAAGGUACUCCGGGGAUAACAGGCUGAUACCGCCCAAGAGUUCAUAUCGACGGCGGUGUUUGGCACCUCGAUGUCGGCUCAUCACAUCCUGGGGCUGAAGUAGGUCCCAAGGGUAUGGCUGUUCGCCAUUUAAAGUGGUACGCGAGCUGGGUUUAGAACGUCGUGAGACAGUUCGGUCCCUAUCUGCCGUGGGCGCUGGAGAACUGAGGGGGGCUGCUCCUAGUACGAGAGGACCGGAGUGGACGCAUCACUGGUGUUCGGGUUGUCAUGCCAAUGGCACUGCCCGGUAGCUAAAUGCGGAAGAGAUAAGUGCUGAAAGCAUCUAAGCACGAAACUUGCCCCGAG
Molecule: ribosomal RNA, 2786 nt
Filed under: Salmonella enterica subsp. enterica serovar Enteritidis
Lineage: Bacteria; Pseudomonadati; Pseudomonadota; Gammaproteobacteria; Enterobacterales; Enterobacteriaceae
Description: partial 23S ribosomal RNA
Rfam family: Bacterial large subunit ribosomal RNA
Source: RNAcentral